UAACAGGGACCUCAGAGAAACAAGGGAUGU
Molecule: non-coding RNA, 30 nt
Filed under: Mus musculus (house mouse)
Lineage: Eukaryota; Metazoa; Chordata; Mammalia; Rodentia; Muridae
Source: RNAcentral